AUCAUGUUCCAAUGCAUUAUAAUGUUGAGUAUUCAAAGUUAGGUUGUUUUCCAGAACUGGUUCUCUCUUAAAGGUCAAAAC
Molecule: unclassified non-coding RNA, 81 nt
Organism: Dipodomys ordii (Ord's kangaroo rat)
Lineage: Eukaryota; Metazoa; Chordata; Mammalia; Rodentia; Heteromyidae
Source: Ensembl